GCUGGCUGAUGAGUAUGUGCUUGUUCAUAAGGGCUGGCCUUGUGAGCCUGUAAGGGAGCCUGUGUCAUGACUGUAAAUCUGUUUGUUGUGUUGUCUGGUUUUGUCUUGUGGGUUCUUGUAUUUGUUUUCCAUGUCUUUGUAUCUUGUCUUGUGUCUUUUGUUUUUCCAUGCCCUCAUGUGUCCUUUAAGUUCUCCUGUGUCUUUUCCUAUGUUCCCUCUGGCUCCCUCUGUCUAUUGUUUUGUUCCCCUCAUGUCCUCGUGUGCUCCUCCCCUUCGUUACCUCACCUGUUGGUCCACCUCACCUGUUCCUCGUCUCGUCAUCAGUGUCUGUGUACUUAGUCUGUGUGUUUCCCUUCACUCCCUGUCUGGUCAUAGUUCUUGUCAGCGUCUGUCUCGUCCAAGUUCCUGCUCCUGCCUGUCCCUUGUUCCCCCGUCUCUGUGCCCCAAUCAAAGGCUGAUCAGGUGGUCGCUGUUCCUGCAGUCUUGUAAUCUGGACAUCCGACACAUUAAAGGCCGUGAUAAUGUGGUUGCAGAUGCACUGUCUCGGGCUCCAGUGAUGGCGUAGGAACCUGUUCACCUUCUGUUCUUCCUUCCCCUCUGUAUUAAUUAAAAUUGGCCCUUAUAGGUUGGGAUGUUGCUGUUUUGGGGAAUGGAUGUUGGAACUGGCAGAUUGUAAGUAUGCUGUAAUUAUUGUAGUAUUUGAUUAUGUAGUUCUCACUUUGGUAUCAUGUUUUAUGUAUUAUGUUGUGACGGAGAUCCUGUGAGGACCCCCGUCUUAUGGGCUCUCUCCCCCUCUGACAUCAGCAGGGUCGUCAGAGGGAUUGGCACCCCCUGGGCUGUGACAGUCUGGGUGCUUGUAACUCUCUCCUGGAGCUCUGUAGCAGGCUUGCUCUCCUCCCAGAGACACUUUGUUCAGCUUUUGUUUUGCAUUUGGGUUUCUGUACAUCCUUCUUACAACAUUACACACACACUUCUCCACUCAUGCAUUCACCUACACCACUGAUUCCACUGACUACACACGCCAUGAUUAGUUUAGGUUACUUUUAAAGUUACUUUUUCUUCAAUAAAUAAUUAGUUAAUUGUCUCACGUGUGCAUCUCCUUGCUUUGUCAUGGCCGUGCGGCCCGGUUUGUGACACAUUAUAUUU
RNAcentral lists this long non-coding RNA (1146 nucleotides) under Sparus aurata (gilthead seabream). RNAcentral's name for it is "lncRNA (ENSSAUG00010027349.1)". The record is from RNAcentral. Lineage: Eukaryota; Metazoa; Chordata; Actinopteri; Spariformes; Sparidae.